GACGAACCGUGCAAACGUUGUUCGGAAUCACUGGGCUUAAAGGGCGCGUAGGCGGCCGAUCAAGUCGGGGGUGAAAUCCUGCAGCUCAACUGUAGAAGUGCCUUCGAUACUGGUCGGCUCGAGGGAGGUAGGGGUGUGUGGAACUUCUGGUGGAGCGGUGAAAUGCGUUGAUAUCAGAAGGAACGCCGGUGGCGAAAGCGACGCACUGGACCUCAUCUGACGCUGAGGCGCGAAAGCCAGGGGAGCAAACGGG
This 253-nucleotide ribosomal RNA is filed under the name uncultured bacterium. RNAcentral describes it as "partial 16S ribosomal RNA". It matches the Rfam family "Bacterial small subunit ribosomal RNA", at positions 524 to 776 of the family's 1533-position model. The record is from RNAcentral.